This 511-nucleotide ribosomal RNA is filed under the name uncultured bacterium. RNAcentral describes it as "bacterial SSU rRNA". It matches the Rfam family "Bacterial small subunit ribosomal RNA", at positions 34 to 518 of the family's 1533-position model. The record is from RNAcentral.
CGCUGGCGGCGUGCCUAAUACAUGCAAGUCGAACGGUCUUUCUAUGGAAGCUUGCUUCCACUGAGAAGAUAGUGGCGAACGGGUGAGUAACACGUGGGUAACCUGCCCAUAAGAGGGGGAUAACAUCCGGAAACGGGUGCUAAUACCGCAUAGUUUUCUUGAUCGCAUGAUCGGGAAAGGAAAGACGGCCUUUGUGCUGUCGCUUAUGGAUGGACCCGCGGCGUAUUAGUUAGUUGGUGAGGUAACGGCUCACCAAGACGAUGAUACGUAGCCGACCUGAGAGGGCGAUCGGCCACAUUGGGACUGAGACACGGCCCAAACUCCUACGGGAGGCAGCAGUAGGGAAUCUUCCGCAAUGGACGAAAGUCUGACGGAGCAACGCCGCGUGAGUGAAAGAAGGUUUUCGGAUCGUAAAACUCUGUUGUCAGAGAAGAACAAGUUGGAGAGUAACUGCUCCAGCCUUGACGGUAUCUGACCAGAAAGCCACGGCUAACUACGUGCCAGCCGCCGC